This 495-nucleotide ribosomal RNA is filed under the name uncultured bacterium. Its description in RNAcentral is "partial 16S ribosomal RNA". It matches the Rfam family "Bacterial small subunit ribosomal RNA", at positions 30 to 507 of the family's 1533-position model. The record is from RNAcentral.
UGACCGCUGGCGGCGUGCCUACUACAUGCAAGUCGAGCGACCAGACGAGGAGCUUGCUCCUCUGACGUUAGCGGCGGACGGGUGAGUAACACGUGGAUAACCUACCUAUAAGACUGGGAUAACUUCGGGAAACCGGAGCUAAUACCGGAUAAUAUAUUGAACCGCAUGGUUCAAUAGUGAAAGACGGUUUUGCUGUCACUUAUAGAUGGAUCCGCGCCGCAUUAGCUAGUUGGUAAGGUAACGGCUUACCAAGGCGACGAUGCGUAGCCGACCUGAGAGGGUGAUCGGCCACACUGGAACUGAGACACGGUCCAGACUCCUACGGGAGGCAGCAGUAGGGAAUCUUCCGCAAUGGGCGAAAGCCUGACGGAGCAACGCCGCGUGAGUGAUGAAGGUCUUCGGAUCGUAAAACUCUGUUAUUAGGGAAGAACAAAUGUGUAAGUAACUAUGCACGUCUUGACGGUACCUAAUCAGAAAGCCACGGCUAACUACGUG